GACGAACGCUGGCGGCGUGCUUAACACAUGCAAGUCGAACGGAAAGGCCUUGCUUUUGUGGGGCGCUCGAGUGGCGAACGGGUGAGUAACACGUGAGUAACCUGCCCUUGACUUUGGGAUAACUUCAGGAAACUGGGGCUAAUACCGGAUAGGAGCUCCUGCUGCAUGGUGGGGGUUGGAAAGUUUCGGCGGUUGGGGAUGGACUCGCGGCUUAUCAGCUUGUUGGUGGGGUAGUGGCUUACCAAGGCUUUGACGGGUAGCCGGCCUGGGAGGGUGACCGGCCCCAUUGGGCCUGAGAUACGGCCCAGACUCCUACGGGAGGCAGCAGUGGGGAAUAUUGCACAAUGGGCGGAAGCCUGAUGCAGCAACGCCGCGUGCGGGAUGACGGCCUUCGGGUUGUAAACCGCUUUCGCCUGUGCCGAAGCGUGAGUGACGGUAAUGGGUAAAGAAGCACCGGCUAACUACGUG
This 468-nucleotide ribosomal RNA is filed under the name uncultured bacterium. Its description in RNAcentral is "partial 16S ribosomal RNA". It matches the Rfam family "Bacterial small subunit ribosomal RNA", at positions 28 to 507 of the family's 1533-position model. The record is from RNAcentral.